Cyprinus carpio carpio is the source of this 1069-nucleotide long non-coding RNA. Lineage: Eukaryota; Metazoa; Chordata; Actinopteri; Cypriniformes; Cyprinidae. The record is from Ensembl.
AAAAUGCAGAUUAACCAGAGUCAGCGAUGGAAAAACUAAACAAUCUCAUUGUUCUCUUAUGAUAAGAUAGCGCCGUUGGCGGUAAAAGCAGUUUGUUUUGGCCGCUGAAGUGUUUCCCGGGAGUUUUCAGAAAGACACACAGAGGACAAGCUGACGUAAACACCAAUAGUUGGCAGCAGGCCAAUCCAAAUGCAGCCGAGGAAGGAAUUCCACUGCAGACGCGGCACACAACAGACUGACGCCAUGCCGGCUCUGCAAAUAGACCAAAAUGGAUGAAGAACAAGCCUCGAACCGUGUGCCUGUGCGCUACACAGGUCAUAUACUCUUGCACUAUGACGUACCAGUCAGGAAGAUCUGGAGAAGUGAGAAAUGAAGGCGAUGAAAGGCUGCUAGAGCAUUAUACGUGAUGCAAUUUUUUUUGUUAUCUCAGAAGGAUAUAUCACUACUAUCACAGUAACGUACAGAGUUUAUUAGUAUUAAAUAAUCUAAUGUGACAAUUCCUGAACACUGUGAAUGACUACUGUAUCAACUGUUGUUUUUAAAUUAAAGAAACAUGUUGUUGCAUUGACUCGUAUCUUGUACUUCAAGCACGAUUCCUUCUUGUGAUCCUGAAGAAAACAAGAAAUUUAAUGCAGUUUAGCUGUUUGAAACGUUUUCAGGGCUAUACAAAACAUAUUGGUGAAUAAAUGAAAACGGAAGAGUUUAUAUUAGGUUACUUGUCGUUCACACAGAACGCAUUUUUGCGUUCCUCUGCUGCACUUUUUCAUAGAUUGUCUGUGUGUUUGACUGUUUGCGUCGGCGUUUGUCGUCUUUUUCGUGGCUACAGAAUUGUCUAAAACAAUCUAUAGGAUUUUCUGCACGCUGUUUACAAACUGAACUACUGAAUCAGUGUUUGCACACGGGUGAUUCAUUUGAGUCGAUUCUCUUCAGUGAAUCGAUCGAGCUAGGUAGCGGUGUUCUGAAUCGGUUCAUGAUUCGAACUGAUCACUCGCGCACUGAAUCGUUUGAGAGGUUUUUCACUUCGUAAAAUAGCCCUACAGAAUACUUAAAAAAGACCAGGUGACGGGGG